RNAcentral lists this ribosomal RNA (402 nucleotides) under uncultured prokaryote. RNAcentral's name for it is "bacterial SSU rRNA". It matches the Rfam family "Bacterial small subunit ribosomal RNA", at positions 355 to 774 of the family's 1533-position model. The record is from RNAcentral.
UAGGGAAUAUUAGAAAUGGACGAAAGUCUGAUCUAGCAACACCGCGUGUGCGAAGAAGGCCUUCGGGUUGUAAGGCACUUUUUGGAAGGAUUAGGAAGGAAUGUACUUCCAGAAUAAGUCUCGGCUAACUACGUGCCAGCAGCCGCGGUAACACGUAGGAGGCAAACGUUAUCCGGAUUUACUGGGCGUAAAGCGCGUGUAGGUGGUUCUGUAAGUAGGGCGUGAAAGCUCCUGGCUCAACUGGGAGAGGCCGUUCUAAACUGCAGAGCUAGAGGAUGGUAGAGGGAGGUGGAAUUCCGCAUGUAGUGGUGAAAUGCGCAGAUAUCCGGAGGAACACCAGUGGCGAAAGCGGCCUCCUGGACCAUUCCUGACACUCAGACGCGAAAGCUAGGGUAGCAAACG